Macadamia integrifolia is the source of this 145-nucleotide long non-coding RNA. RefSeq lists it as uncharacterized. Lineage: Eukaryota; Viridiplantae; Streptophyta; Magnoliopsida; Proteales; Proteaceae. The transcript has 2 exons. The record is from RefSeq and is a predicted model, not a curated record.
AGCAAGUGAAUAUGCAAGAUCACCAGAAAAGUACUCACAGAUUAUACAUUCAUGUCUAUCCAAACAAUAUUGUUUCUACUUCAAAAUGGAUGCAAGAAAUGAUGGAAGUCGAAUAACAAGACAAAUUGUUGCGGAUACCAUUAAA